This 352-nucleotide ribosomal RNA is filed under the name uncultured Racocetra. RNAcentral's name for it is "SSU rRNA". It matches the Rfam family "Eukaryotic small subunit ribosomal RNA", at positions 569 to 929 of the family's 1831-position model. Lineage: Eukaryota; Fungi; Glomeromycota; Glomeromycetes; Diversisporales; Gigasporaceae. The record is from RNAcentral.
AGCAGCCGCGGUAAUUCCAGCUCCAAUAGCGUAUAUUAAAGUUGUUGCAGUUAAAAAGCUCGUAGUUGAAUUUCGGGGUUCUACCGUUGGUCGGGCUUUGUCUGUACUGGCGUGUAGAAUUUCUACCUUCUGGGGAACCAUCAUGUUAUUAAUUUAACGUGGUGGGAAACCAGGACCUUUACCUUGAAAAAAUUAGAGUGUUCAAAGCAGGCUUACGUCUGAAUACAUUAGCAUGGGAUAAUAAAAUAGGUCGGUGGUCCUGUUUUGUUGGUUUCUGAAUCACCGUAAUGAUUAAUAGGGAUAGUUGGGGGCAUUAGUAUUCAAUUGUCAGAGGUGAAAUUCUUGGAUUUAU